ACAACAUUCGGACCGUCAGUCUACCGAGUAAUUACACUCGCUCGGUAGAAGAUCUUUUUUUUUAUU
RNAcentral lists this microRNA precursor (66 nucleotides) under Bombyx mori (domestic silkworm). RNAcentral's name for it is "mir-2774 microRNA precursor family". It matches the Rfam family "mir-2774 microRNA precursor family". Lineage: Eukaryota; Metazoa; Arthropoda; Insecta; Lepidoptera; Bombycidae. The record is from Rfam by way of RNAcentral.